Molecule: ribosomal RNA, 377 nt
Filed under: Corynebacterium sp. HMSC077C02
Lineage: Bacteria; Bacillati; Actinomycetota; Actinomycetes; Mycobacteriales; Corynebacteriaceae
Description: bacterial SSU rRNA
Rfam family: Bacterial small subunit ribosomal RNA
Source: RNAcentral
GAUGUUGGGUUAAGUCCCGCAACGAGCGCAACCCUUGUCUUAUGUUGCCAGCACGUUGUGGUGGGGACUCGUAAGAAACUGCCGGGGUUAACUCGGAGGAAGGUGGGGAUGACGUCAAAUCAUCAUGCCCCUUAUGUCCAGGGCUUCACACAUGCUACAAUGGUCGGUACAGUGGGUUGCCAGUCCGUGAGGGCGAGCUAAUCCCGCAAAGCCGGUCUCAGUUCGGAUCGGGGUCUGCAACUCGACCCCGUGAAGUCGGAGUCGCUAGUAAUCGCAGAUCAGCAACGCUGCGGUGAAUACGUUCCCGGGCCUUGUACACACCGCCCGUCACGUCAUGAAAGUCGGUAACACCCGAAGCCAGUGGCCUAACACAUUUU